This 1365-nucleotide ribosomal RNA is filed under the name Triticum aestivum (bread wheat). Its description in RNAcentral is "partial small subunit ribosomal RNA". The record is from RNAcentral. Lineage: Eukaryota; Viridiplantae; Streptophyta; Magnoliopsida; Poales; Poaceae.
AUGGCGCUGCAAAACAUUGGUGCUUCAAACAAGGAUGAUGCCUUCUACAGGUACAAGAUGCCCAGAAUGUUGACCAAAAUUGAAGGCCGUGGUAAUGGCAUCAAGACCAAUAUUGUGAACAUGGUUGAUAUAGCAAAAGCACUUGCCAGGCCUGCUUCCUACACAACCAAGUACUUUGGAUGUGAGCUUGGGGCACAAUCAAAGUUUGAUGAGAAGACGGGAAUCUCCUUGGUCAAUGGAGCCCAUGACACUUUGAAGCUGGCUGGUCUGCUUGAGAACUUCAUCAAGAAGUAUGUCCAGUGUUAUGGCUGUGGCAACCCUGAGACGGAGGUCCUCAUCUCCAAGAAAGAGAUGAUAACUUUGAAAUGUGCUGCCUGUGGCUUCCUCUCGGAUGUUGACAUGAGGGACAAGCUCACUACAUUCAUCCUGAAGAACCCACCAGAGGCAAAGAAAGGUGGCAAGGACAAGAAAGCUAUGCGGAGGGCUGAGAAGGAGCGUCUGAAAGAAGGUGAAGCUGCUGAUGAGGAGAUGAAGAAACUCAAGAAGGAUGGGAAGAAGAAAGGUGCUUCAUCCAAGGAGAGUACUGCAAAAGGUGUUGCCACAAAGAAGAAGGGUGCUGGGGGCUCUGAUGAGGAACAUGUCUCAUCACCAAGAGAUGCUGACUUUGCAGCUGCUGCAGACGGUGAUGAUGACGACGACGAUGAUGUACAGUGGGCGACUGACACGUCAGCAGAGGCUGCGAGAAAGCGCAUGGAGGAACAGCUGAGUGCAGCAACUGCUGAAAUGGUUAUGCUUGCCACUGAAGAGACUGAGAAGAAGAAGAAACAGGCCCAGCACAAGGAUGAUGGCGGUGCCAAUGGCACAGCAAAGGCUGAAGAGACCUCCAACGGUAACCAGAAUGGGGCCAAAACCACCACUCCCUAUGAUGCACUGGUUGAAGAGAUCAAGGCCAGCCUAGCCAAUGCUGCCACCGCAGCUCAGCUCAAGGGGUUGCUGUCCUCCUCGCCCCUGCCCCUGAAGGAUGUGAUGGAUGCCCUCUUCGAGGCGCUCUUCCAUGGUGCUGCCAAGGGGUUUGCGAAGGAUGUGGUGAAGAACAGGAAGUACCUUGCUGCUGCUGUGCCUGAUGAAGCCGCCCAGAUGCUCCUGCUCCAGUCUAUCGAGGCGUUCUGUGGCAAGUGCAGCGCCGAGGCCCUGAAGGAGCUGCCUGUCGUCCUGAAGGCCCUCUACGACGGAGACGUCCUCGAGGAAGAGACUAUUGUGCAGUGGUACAAUGAGGCUGUUGCUGCCGGUAAGGACUCCCAGAUCGUGAAGAAUGCCAAGCCCGUCGUGGAGUGGCUCCAGAGCGCUGAGUCUGACGAGGAGUGA